Molecule: small RNA, 493 nt
Filed under: Pan troglodytes (chimpanzee)
Lineage: Eukaryota; Metazoa; Chordata; Mammalia; Primates; Hominidae
Description: retained intron
Source: RNAcentral
UUUAUUUACUGUUUGCUCCUGAAGAGUGUGAUACUAACACCAUCUGUCCUUUUCCUCCCAGGAAAGCUUGUGUACGAGCGCAUCUUUUCCAUGUGUGUGGAUAGCCGCAGUGUCUUACCAGAUCACUUUUCUCCAGAGAAUGCAAAUGACACGGCCAAGGAAACAUGCCUAAAUUGGUUUUUCAAGAUUGCCUCCAUCAGGGAACUCAUUCCAAGAUUUUACGUGGAGGCAUCCAUCCUGAAAUGUAACAAAUUCCUCUCCAAAACGGGAAUUUCAGAGUGCCUGCCCCGGUUGACAUGCAUGAUCAGAGGGAUCGGAGACCCACUGGUGUCGGUGUAUGCCCGUGCCUACCUGUGCCGGGUGGGAAUGGAAGUGGCCCCACAUCUCAAAGAAACCCUAAAUAAGAACUUUUUUGACUUCCUCCUUACGUUCAAACAGAUUCAUGGGGAUACGGUCCAGAACCAGCUGGUGGUCCAAGGAGUGGAGCUCCCAU